RNAcentral lists this ribosomal RNA (489 nucleotides) under uncultured bacterium. RNAcentral describes it as "partial 16S ribosomal RNA". It matches the Rfam family "Bacterial small subunit ribosomal RNA", at positions 30 to 507 of the family's 1533-position model. The record is from RNAcentral.
AUUGAACGCUGGCGGCAGGCCUAACACAUGCAAGUCGAACGGUAACAGGAAGAAGCUUGCUUCUUUGCUGACGAGUGGCGGACGGGUGAGUAAUGUCUGGGAAACUGCCUGAUGGAGGGGGAUAACUACUGGAAACGGUAGCUAAUACCGCAUAAUGUCGCAAGACCAAAGAGGGGGACCUUCGGGCCUCUUGCCAUCGGAUGUGCCCAGAUGGGAUUAGCUAGUAGGUGGGGUAACGGCUCACCUAGGCGACGAUCCCUAGCUGGUCUGAGAGGAUGACCGGCACACUGGAACUUGGGCACCGUCCCGACUCCUACGGGGGGCAGCAGUGGGGAAUAUUGCACAAUGGGCGGAAGCCUUAUGCAGCCAUGCCGCGUGUAUGAAGAAGGCCUUCGGGUUGUAAAGUACUUUCAGCGGGGAGGAAGGGAGUAAAGUUAAUACCUUGGCUCAUUGACGUUACCCGCAGAAGAAGCACCGGCUAACUCCGUG